UACAGAGGGUGCGAGCGUUAAUCGGAAUUACUGGGCGUAAAGGGCAUGUAGGCGGGCGUCUAAGUCAAAUGUGAAAUCCUCGGGCUUAACCUGAGAAUGGCAUUUGAUACUGGGCGUCUAGAGUAUAGCAGAGGAAAGUGGAAUUUCCGGUGUAGCGGUGGAAUGCAUAGAUAUCGGAAGGAAUAUCAGUGGCGAAAGCGACUUUCUGGGCUAAUACUGACGCUGAGGUGCGAAAGCGUGGGGAGCAAACAGG
RNAcentral lists this ribosomal RNA (253 nucleotides) under uncultured bacterium. RNAcentral's name for it is "partial 16S ribosomal RNA". It matches the Rfam family "Bacterial small subunit ribosomal RNA", at positions 524 to 776 of the family's 1533-position model. The record is from RNAcentral.